Long non-coding RNA from Hemicordylus capensis (graceful crag lizard), 1791 nucleotides. RefSeq lists it as uncharacterized. Lineage: Eukaryota; Metazoa; Chordata; Lepidosauria; Squamata; Cordylidae. The transcript is spliced from 3 exons. The record is from RefSeq and is a predicted model, not a curated record.
ACCAGCUUGAAUGCCAGUCCAUGGAACCAGUUCAGUGCUUCUAGAAUGGAGCGCUGAACAAUUUCAUGCACAUCCCUAGUCUGUUUAUACACAGACCAUAUUGUGACUGUAUAAACCAACCUUACAGGCAGAAUAAUACCAAUUCUAGUAUCUCUCAUUAACAUGCACUUAUUACUCAAGUAAUGAACAUUGGUCUUACCUGUGAAGGGUUGUUUUUCCCUGUGUUUGAAGCUCCUCAUUAUGGGUUAAGUACAGAGCAUGCUCAGAAAACAGGACUGACAUCAUUGUAGUUUUAGCUUCCUGCCGCUUGGAGGCAUGUAGACCCCAGUUCCAGGAGUGUAGUGAGGAAUGGCAAUGAAAAAUAAAAGGAGAGGGCUCCCUAGAAACUUAUGGAAGAAAAUUCACAGAUACAGCUCAAGAGGAGGAAAGGUGGUAGAAAAGGUUAGUAGGAUAAAUAACUAAUCACUAAUGACCCAAAGGAGGUGACCCUACCCCCCAAAAUGGAAAAUUCCAAAGUACUUGCCAAAUGGCAAGCAAUGGUCAUAAGGAAGGGAAGUCAGGUACAUCUGAGUGGGCAUGAAAAGCUCCAGACACAGGGGCAAAGAACCCUUCACAGCUAAGUCCAAUUUUCAUUUUCCCCUGUGCUGGAGCUUCUCACUAUGGGGCAUGCCCAAGCAGACUAACUGGGGGAGGAAGAUCUACCUAUAUGACCUGUUACGGAACCCUGUGCCUGAAGGCCGCCUGCAGGGUGUAGGUGGUUAUCUUAUAGUGGCGAAUGAAUGGUGUGAUGGAGGACCAGGUAGCUGCUUUGGUAGCCCAAGUGGCAGCUCUACAAAUAUCAGCUAAGGGGGCCAAGGUAGACAAGGCCGCAGAGGCUGCUGCGCUCCGGGUGGAGUGAGCGGUAAUACCCUCAGGCGCAGUCUCUCCUGCCGCGGCGUAGGCCAGCUGGAUAGUUUGGCAGAUCCAGCGUGCCAGGGAGGAGACAGAGACCUUCCUACCCAUAGAACUGGCACGAAAGGACACAAAAAAGGAUUCGGAGACCCUGAAAGAUUUAGUCCGCCUCAAGUAAAUACGGAUCGCACGACGGACGUCCAAUUUGUGCCAUUCCCUCUCCAUAGGCCCUAUGUGGCUUUGGACACUUACAGCCCAGGGAAGCCGGGCGGAAGGACACAAAAAGAGAGUCUGACUUGCGGAAUUCUGCUGUGCAACGAAGAUGGGUUCCAAUGCUGAACCAAAGAGGUCUGAUCCAGAAAAAGGCGAAGCUGUGAAUGCUGUCUUGGACUUGGGAUCUACUUGCCAUGAUUUUAACCAGAGAGAUCUGCGAACCGCUACCCCUGCAGCUAAGGAUCAAGAAGCCUGUGGAUGCAGACCAAGCUAGAGUCUGACUACCAGGCAGCCUGUGCGCCUACCAAUCGCAGCCAUCUGGCUUGUGUCAAAGUCUGUGAGUCAAGCAGCUACAGUGCAACAGGAAGAAAGGCAGUGAUGUCACUCUUCAGGUCAGGCAAAGAACAAAGAUGUAUUCUACCAUUAAAAAGCUGGGUGCCCCAGGAGUAGAGGCCUCUAGCAUGCUUUUACUUGAUGAUUUAUGGUUAAUGCUGUUCUUUCUACUAACUAAGUAGCAGAGCACCACCUAGUGGUUAACACCUAGUGGGGAAAAAGGUGCAAGGAAAAUUAGGAGAGAGAGAGAGAAAUAGCAGCAUGGGUUGCUAAAGCUACUUCACACAACUUUUUAAGAAACAGACAUUAUUUGCCCUAAAAAAAUGCUCCCGCCUGUAAUAGGUUCAUCUGUUC